RNAcentral lists this ribosomal RNA (274 nucleotides) under uncultured bacterium. RNAcentral's name for it is "partial 16S ribosomal RNA". It matches the Rfam family "Bacterial small subunit ribosomal RNA", at positions 523 to 796 of the family's 1533-position model. The record is from RNAcentral.
AUACGGAGGUUGCGAGCGUUAAUCGGAAUUACUGGGCGUAAAGCGCGCGUAGGCGGUUGGGUAAGUCGGAUGUGAAAGCCCCGGGCUUAACCUGGGAAUUGCAUUCGAUACUGCCCGGCUAGAGUAUGGUAGAGGGAAGCGGAAUUCCGGGUGUAGCGGUGAAAUGCGUAGAUAUCCGGAGGAACACCAGUGGCGAAGGCGGCUUCCUGGACCAAUACUGACGCUGAGGUGCGAAAGCGUGGGGAGCAAACAGGAUUAGAAACCCUAGUAGUCC